This is a long non-coding RNA of Stegostoma tigrinum, 688 nucleotides long. RefSeq lists it as uncharacterized. The transcript is spliced from 3 exons. Lineage: Eukaryota; Metazoa; Chordata; Chondrichthyes; Orectolobiformes; Stegostomatidae. The record is from RefSeq and is a predicted model, not a curated record.
GUGGACAUCGCUGGCUGGGCAGCAUUUAUUGUUCAUCCUUAAUUGCCCUGAGGAUAGUUCAGAGUCAACCACAUUGCUGUGGGUCUGAAGUCACAUGUAUGCCAGACCGGACGAUAUAAUGGAAUAAAGUGGACAGUACUUUGAAGAUACUAAACUCAAUAAGGAGAAGAAAAGUCAGAAAGACCAAGCCCUGGACUGCCAGAGCAACAAUGAAGCGGCCAACUCCAGGAGAUUCCCAGGCUAAGUAAUCAGUCUGGUAGGUGAUGUCUGCAAAACAUCAACGACGGGCAAGAUAAAUGCUGGAGACAACGAAGUACCAAACAUUAAAGGAUGGAUGCAAGCCAUCCAUAGAUCGUUUUGUUGCAUAAAGAAAUGCUAACAGAUCCCAGAGAAGAGACACAGAUGGAUACAGAGUGCUUAUAAAAGCAGAUAGAGUCAUAUAGAUACACAGCACAGAAACAAAUCCUUUGAUCCAACUCGUCCAUGUCAACCAGAUAUCCUAAAUAAAUCUAGUCCAAUUUGUUAGCAUUUGGUCACAUCUCACUAAACUCUUCCUAUUCAUAUACCCAUCCAGAUGCCUUUUAAAAGUUGUAACUGUACCAGCCUCCACCACUUCUUCUGGAAGUUCAUUCUAUAUACGCACCACCCUCUGCCUAAAAACGUUGCCCCUUAGGCCACUUUUAAAUCU